This is a non-coding RNA of Pan troglodytes (chimpanzee), 148 nucleotides long. It matches the Rfam family "Metazoan signal recognition particle RNA". Rfam says of the family: The signal recognition particle (SRP) is a universally conserved ribonucleoprotein. It is involved in the co-translational targeting of proteins to membranes. Lineage: Eukaryota; Metazoa; Chordata; Mammalia; Primates; Hominidae. The record is from Rfam.
GCUGGGCAUGGUGGUGCGUGCCUGUAAUCCCAGCUACUGGGGAGGCUGAGGCAGGAGAAUGGCUUGAACCCAGGAGGCGGGGGUUGCAGUGAGCCGAGAUCAUGCCACUACACUGCAGCCUGGGUGACAGAGCAAGACUCCGUCUCAA